CUCUCUCUCGUGGGAAAAGAAAGCAAAAGGAGGGGAGGAGAGAGAUUUUCUAUCAAAUUCUCAGAUCUCUCUCUGUACGAGUUCAGGACCUUUAAUCGCUUUAUCAAAUAACCAAAAUGGGACGGAAAUCGUUGAUCUACUCAUUUUCCUGUGGAAAUGUGAUUCUUGCUGAGUACACAGAAUUCAGUGGCAAUUUCAAUUCCAUAGCGUUUCAGUGCCUCCAGAGGCUCCCUGCCACCAACAAUAAGUUCACUUACAGCUGCGAUGCCCACAACUUCAAUUACCUCGUGGACAAUGGCUCAUUUAUCUCUUUCUCUGGUCAUCUCUCGUUCUCGGUCCCUUAGCCAUGGGACGUGGUAGAAAGCGGCAGCUACCGGAGUUAACCCUCGAUAUCGACGGAACUGCCAGAAAGCGAGGCACUGCCAGAAACCGACGGCAAUUCCCCGGAGUGUUGUGGAUCCAAGGCGGAACAUGGAGGCGGCGAUGUUUUGCCACAGGGAAACAAGCAAUUUAUGGAAAAUAAGAACACUACAGUGUAAUCAAGAACACUACCGUUGGACCUGUUGAACAGUUGGAAACAAGCUCGCCGCUCUUGGUUAGUUACCUUGGUGCUUUUAUUAUUUGGAAUUCUGAGAUUAAGGUGUUUGGUGAUUUUAUUAUUUGUAAUGCUGAGAUUGAGGUGUUUGGUGCUUUUACUAUAAAUUUUAAAUAAGACUACGAAAUUGUGAUUUGGAGACUUUAGAUCUCUUUACAAUGAGUUUACUGUAAAUUUUUUUUAUGGUUUUAAGGUGUUUGGUGCUUUUAUUAUCUGGAAUUUUGAGAUUAAGGUAAAGAGGAGUGUGAGGUAAAGAGGUGUUUGAAAUAGAAACUCCGGCUAUAGUAGCAACUAUGAGUUGUGAGUACAAAUCUCCCAUUGAAAGCCAGGACAUCACAAGCUAUUUAAUAGUUGAGAUAUGCUUGCAAGGAUGUCGCCGAUAGAGAGUUGCAAACACUCAAUCUCUUGCUCAUUAAAGUUUUUGUUCCUCGAUUCUGAAAUUUCGGCUUUGAGGAUUGAGUUGCAGCUCCAUUCCACAGCGAAGGAUAGUAGGUAGAGUGAGAGAAUGAAUAAGGAUUGCUUUCAUGCAUUCAUAAAAUGGAAAAAAAUUCAGCAAAAGUUGAUAUGAUUCUUGAUGAAAUUGAGAAAUACAAGGCAGCUGCAGGGACCUUUGGUUUUCCUUCAGCUAUUAGAGGAAGAACAACCAAAUCUCCAG
Long non-coding RNA from Hevea brasiliensis (rubber tree), 1250 nucleotides. RefSeq lists it as uncharacterized. Lineage: Eukaryota; Viridiplantae; Streptophyta; Magnoliopsida; Malpighiales; Euphorbiaceae. The transcript is spliced from 4 exons. The record is from RefSeq and is a predicted model, not a curated record.